Molecule: ribosomal RNA, 253 nt
Filed under: uncultured bacterium
Lineage: Bacteria
Description: partial 16S ribosomal RNA
Rfam family: Bacterial small subunit ribosomal RNA
Source: RNAcentral
UACGGAGGGUGCGAGCGUUGUCCGGAAUCACUGGGCGUAAAGGGCGCGUAGGCGGCGCGAGUAGCCAACGGUGAAAGCCCGGGGCUCAACCCCGGGUCGGCCGUCGAUACUCUCGUGCUUGAGCACUGUAGAGGCUGGUGGAAUUCCGGGUGUAGCGGUGGAAUGCGUAGAGAUCCGGAAGAACACCGGUGGCGAAGGCGGCCUGCUGGGCAGUAGCUGACGCUGAGGCGCGACAGCGUGGGGAGCAAACAGG